This is a non-coding RNA of Heterocephalus glaber (naked mole-rat), 1011 nucleotides long. The record is from RefSeq and is a predicted model, not a curated record. Lineage: Eukaryota; Metazoa; Chordata; Mammalia; Rodentia; Bathyergidae.
CAAGUCCUUAAGGAAGUGCAGCUCACUCUGAGGUGGAGGGAGGAUUCGAAGCCGGCGCCAACGCAGAGAUGGAGACAGCGGAACAAAAGGGAAGCGGGUGGAGGGGGCUUCUGCGUGGGGCGGGGGUCUCGCCAGGCCUCAGGAAGGAGGCUGGCGCCGAGGCAGAGCCAGGAGCUGCCCCCGCCGCGGAGAAGGGCCGGGCCUGAGAAGGGGGAGGGGAGGCCCUGGAUCCUGAAGCUGGGUCCUCGAGAGCCGCUCAGCCCCGCGGGCCUGCGGGCCCCGGCUCGGCUCGGCUCGGCUCGGCUCCGGUUUCGGCUCGGCUCAGCUCGGCUCCGGCUCCGCGGCGGCUGCUUCUGUGGUUUCCGAAUGAAGGCGCCUGACUCAAGGCCGCCAGAGGAAGGCGCAGAGCAGUGGCUGGCCCUGACCGGUCCUGCUGAAUGGCUCCCCACCCCUCCCCCGCCCAUCACUGGCCGGGAACGAGACUCAACUGUCACCAAGGAGUCUGGUCCACAAGAGAGGCGGCAGGUCCUUUAUCCCCUGGACACCCAAGUGCAUCCUGAGAUCUGAAAAACAAAGCCGGGUUGCACUGGCUUUGCAAAUCCAAGAUUCCCAGGAAUUUAUGGAAAGUAUUAUCAGCAUGCAGGAGGUCACGUGUGCCAGCGAAGGAUCCUGGGACUGGGUCGUGGUUGUGUGGGCACCUGAACCCCCUGAACAACGGCCGCUGUGGCCUUGGUGACAUGACAUAAACUGAGGUAAACAUCAUGACCGACACCUCUCCUAAGGGGCUAACGAUGCCAAGCCGACCAAUAGACACUGACCACGGCAGAUGCCCCCUGCCCCCGAAUCCUCCAGGAACAGAAACUGAGAAGGCGGGACCCCUGGAAGCUGACAUGCUGACCCCAACAGAACCCAGGAGAAAUGACUGGCAGUCAUGUCGCUGUCUGCGGGCAUCCAGGCCCAGGAUCUGGGCUGGGGCAGCGAGGACUGGGAGGGUCCUGGGGAGGCUCCACU